AUACAGAGGGUGCAAGCGUUAAUCGGAUUUACUGGGCGUAAAGCGCGCGUAGGUGGCUAAUUAAGUCAAAUGUGAAAUCCCCGAGCUUAACUUGGGAAUUGCAUUCGAUACUGGUUAGCUAGAGUAUGGGAGAGGAUGGUAGAAUUCCAGGUGGAGCGGUGAAAUGCGUAGAGAUCUGGAGGAAUACCGAUGGCGAAGGCAGCCAUCUGGCCUAAUACUGACACUGAGGUGCGAAAGCAUGGGGAGCAAACAGGAUUAGAUACCCUGGUAGUCCAUGCCGUAAACGAUGUCUACUAGCCGUUGGGGCCCUUGAGGCUUUAGUGGCGCAGCUAACGCGAUAAGUAGACCGCCUGGGGAGUACGGUCGCAAGACUAAAACUCAAAUGAAUUGACGGGG
Molecule: ribosomal RNA, 396 nt
Filed under: uncultured bacterium
Lineage: Bacteria
Description: partial 16S ribosomal RNA
Rfam family: Bacterial small subunit ribosomal RNA
Source: RNAcentral